RNAcentral lists this small nuclear RNA (22 nucleotides) under Arabidopsis thaliana (thale cress). Its description in RNAcentral is "snRNA_15036". Lineage: Eukaryota; Viridiplantae; Streptophyta; Magnoliopsida; Brassicales; Brassicaceae. The record is from RNAcentral.
GCGGAGGAGAGUGAAAAUCGGC